UUUUACAGCUUGGAGCGUUAUUUUACAACAGUGUUCCACGUGGCCAUUUUAACCGCCAUUUUGAAUCGCCAUUUGCAUGGUGAACUGUGAAGCGUGGGGUGGCGUGGAUGAAGCGCGGCAGUUCCCUAUACACCGUGCAUACUGCAUAUAUCGUGAAGCGAGGCCUCCGGUGCGGCGAAGCAUGCAGUGUCUGCUAGACGACCAAAACUGCGGCAAGCAGUGAACAACAAAGUCGUGGCACGACCUGACCCCUGAUUAUGGGGACUAGUGAGGAGCCAAAUGAGUUAAAGGAAAGAGUCGUCAAGAACAUCCAGCAAGUGUGUGACGAACUGGUGGCGCUACUCGCCUACGGACGCUGGGCGAUCUCAAGAACGAGCAGAGCUCCGUGAGUGUUCACUUCUUCAGUCGUCCCGCCUCAACGUUCAGGGAGCACUGGGCCACUUUAAGCUGUCAAAGUCAAAGGUCGGUGAAGUUGCCACAAUCCUUGCAGCCCAUGCCCCCAUGUUUUGUCUUCCGUUCCGUGGACCAUGCAAGCAUAUAUGUACCUAUUCGAGGUGCUCUACAAGAAAGCCCUAUAGUUCGUUUUUCUUAAGUUCGACCCUCACUGUAAACAUCUGUUUGAACACAGCACGAGAAUUGCUAGCUGAACUACUUAGAAAACUGGUUAGCGCACAUUGAAUUAGAGGUAUGAAUAAUAUUUUCAAAAUAGGUUGUGAACACUGAUGAUGUACCGUUAUGUUAAGGGG
RNAcentral lists this long non-coding RNA (746 nucleotides) under Amphibalanus amphitrite. Its description in RNAcentral is "uncharacterized LOC122379808". Lineage: Eukaryota; Metazoa; Arthropoda; Thecostraca; Balanomorpha; Balanidae. The record is from RNAcentral.